CUAGUUGGCUGCGCGGGCAAACGAGGUUCACGCGGGCUGGAAGACGCGCGAGAAUUCCAGAAGCUUCGAGGAUUCUCCAGGAGCUGCUGGAAGCUGCUAGGCGCGGGCAGAGAGGCACGGGCGGGCCGAGGACGCGCGGGGCGCACGGGCCCGUAGCACGCCAAAAUGAGGUUCAUUGCCAGAAUCUGCCAGAAAAUUCCAAAACGUCCUAGAUUGCUCCCAAACAGCCCAAACAGGGGCAGACACGUGGAAAAUCACCAACCACGAGUU
This 270-nucleotide long non-coding RNA is filed under the name Manihot esculenta (cassava). RNAcentral's name for it is "long non-coding RNA (MESC_LNC008000)". Lineage: Eukaryota; Viridiplantae; Streptophyta; Magnoliopsida; Malpighiales; Euphorbiaceae. The record is from RNAcentral.